ACUACGUGCCAGCAGCCGCGGUAAUACGUAGGUGGCAAGCGUUAUCCGGAUUUAUUGGGCGUAAAGGGAACGCAGGCGGUCUUUUAAGUCUGAUGUGAAAGCCUUCGGCUUAACCGGAGUAGUGCAUUGGAAACUGGGAGACUUGAGUGCAGAAGAGGAGAGUGGAACUCCAUGUGUAGCGGUGAAAUGCGUAGAUAUAUGGAAGAACACCAGUGGCGAAAGCGGCUCUCUGGUCUGUAACUGACGCUGAGGUUCGAAAGCGUGGGUAGCAAACAGGAUUAGAUACCCCAGUAGUCCGCAAAAGA
RNAcentral lists this ribosomal RNA (305 nucleotides) under uncultured bacterium. RNAcentral describes it as "bacterial SSU rRNA". It matches the Rfam family "Bacterial small subunit ribosomal RNA", at positions 500 to 806 of the family's 1533-position model. The record is from RNAcentral.